RNAcentral lists this ribosomal RNA (468 nucleotides) under uncultured bacterium. RNAcentral's name for it is "partial 16S ribosomal RNA". It matches the Rfam family "Bacterial small subunit ribosomal RNA", at positions 28 to 507 of the family's 1533-position model. The record is from RNAcentral.
GACGAACGCUGGCGGCGUGCUUAACACAUGCAAGUCGAACGGAAAGGCCCUGCUUUUGUGGGGUGCUCGAGUGGCGAACGGGUGAGUAACACGUGAGUAACCUGCACUUGACUUUGGGAUAACUUCAGGAAACUGGGGCUAAUACCGGAUAGGAGCUCCUGCUCCAUGGUGGGGGUUGGAAAGUUUCGGCGGUUUGGGAUGGACUCGCGGCUUAUCAGCUUGUUGGUGGGGUAGUGGCUUACCAAGGCUUUGACGGGUAGCCGGCCUGAGAGGGUGACCGGCCACAUUGGGACUGAGAGACGGACCAGACUCCUACGGGAGGCAGCAGGGGGGAAUAUUGCACAAUGGGGGGAAGACUGAUGCAGCAACGCCGCGUGCGGGAUGACGUCCUUCGGGUUGUAAACCGCUUUCGCCUGUGACGAAGCGUGAGUGACGGUAAUGGGUAAAGAAGCACCGGCUAACUACGUG